GUCAUAAAAUACUAUCGACAAAGGAGUUAAAAGAGAAGAAGUACUAUAAAUGGCAUAAUCGAUGGAGCCAUAGUAUAAACAACUAUCUAGAGUUUAGAUAUAUUAUACAAAAAAUCAUUAUGAAAGAUAGAUUGAAGUUUUCUGAUAAAGAUAAGGAGGUUAUAUUCAUCGAUGCAGAUCCCUUUUCAGAGUAACAGUCAAUAUGAUAAGUGCAAAUCUAACCAAUAUAGUGGGUAAUCAUGGCCAAAAUAGAAUACAAAAGGCUGAAGACAUGAAAAAGUGAAUAAUGGAGGAGCUACAACAAUGGGAGAGGGGGUUUGUGGACUUACGACAUAAAGACCUAUUGCAUUUAGAAGUUUCAUAUUGAUUUUGCAAUUGAGUAUUUUGGUUUAAUGUCAUACCAAAAAGAGCAGUGCAUCACCAGAAGCGACAUCAGAAGAAUUGGCCUUAACAUCUUCUAGUUAAAAAAUGAAAAAGAAGAAAUUUAAAGUACAGACCAUCAGGAAGAACAUCGAUGAGGGAAAGGAUGUAAAUUGAAAGUCCAACCAACGUAAAAGAUAAAGAAAAAGAAUUGGAGCCCAAAUGGAAUGAUGAUGGCAAGCACAAAUAGUGUGAUGAUGGCAAGCCU
This 628-nucleotide long non-coding RNA is filed under the name Elaeis guineensis (African oil palm). RNAcentral's name for it is "long non-coding RNA (EGUI_LNC039964)". Lineage: Eukaryota; Viridiplantae; Streptophyta; Magnoliopsida; Arecales; Arecaceae. The record is from RNAcentral.